Molecule: ribosomal RNA, 794 nt
Filed under: Ectopseudomonas guguanensis
Lineage: Bacteria; Pseudomonadati; Pseudomonadota; Gammaproteobacteria; Pseudomonadales; Pseudomonadaceae
Description: bacterial SSU rRNA
Rfam family: Bacterial small subunit ribosomal RNA
Source: RNAcentral
AUUGAACGCUGGCGGCAGGCCUAACACAUGCAAGUCGAGCGGAUGAGGGGAGCUUGCUCCCUGAUUUAGCGGCGGACGGGUGAGUAAUGCCUAGGAAUCUGCCUGGUAGUGGGGGAUAACGUUCCGAAAGGAACGCUAAUACCGCAUACGUCCUACGGGAGAAAGCAGGGGACCUUCGGGCCUUGCGCUAUCAGAUGAGCCUAGGUCGGAUUAGCUAGUUGGUGAGGUAAUGGCUCACCAAGGCGACGAUCCGUAACUGGUCUGAGAGGAUGAUCAGUCACACUGGAACUGAGACACGGUCCAGACUCCUACGGGAGGCAGCAGUGGGGAAUAUUGGACAAUGGGCGAAAGCCUGAUCCAGCCAUGCCGCGUGUGUGAAGAAGGUCUUCGGAUUGUAAAGCACUUUAAGUUGGGAGGAAGGGCUGCUGGUUAAUACCCUGCAGUUUUGACGUUACCAACAGAAUAAGCACCGGCUAACUUCGUGCCAGCAGCCGCGGUAAUACGAAGGGUGCAAGCGUUAAUCGGAAUUACUGGGCGUAAAGCGCGCGUAGGUGGUUUUGUAAGUUGGAGGUGAAAUCCCCGGGCUCAACCUGGGAACUGCCUCCAAAACUGCAUGACUAGAGUACGGUAGAGGGUGGUGGAAUUUCCUGUGUAGCGGUGAAAUGCGUAGAUAUAGGAAGGAACACCAGUGGCGAAGGCGACCACCUGGACUGAUACUGACACUGAGGUGCGAAAGCGUGGGGAGCAAACAGGAUUAGAUACCCUGGUAGUCCACGCCGUAAACGAUGUCAACU